RNAcentral lists this long non-coding RNA (684 nucleotides) under Parus major (Great Tit). RNAcentral's name for it is "lncRNA (ENSPMJG00000002023.1)". The record is from RNAcentral. Lineage: Eukaryota; Metazoa; Chordata; Aves; Passeriformes; Paridae.
CUCUGGAAUUCCCCUGGAAUUCUGGAAUCCCUCUGGAAUUCUGGGAAUCCCUCUGGAAUUCCUGGAUAAUCCCCCUGGAGAAUCCCUCUGGAAUUCUGGGAAUUCCCCUGGAAUUUCCCUGGAAUUCUGGGAUCCCUCUGGAAUUCUGGGAAUUCCCCUGGAAUUCCGGGAAUCCCCUGGAAUUCUGGGAAUCCCCCUGGAAUUCUGGGAAUCCCUCUGGAAUUCUGGAAUCACUCUGGAAUUCCUGGAUAAUCCCUCUGGAAUUCUGGGAAUCCCCCUGGAAUUCUGGGAUCCCCCUGGAAUUCCGGGAAUCCCCUGGAAUUCUGGAAUCCCCCUGGAAUCCCCCUGGAAUUCUGGGAUCCCUCUGGAAUUCUGGGAUCCCCCUGGAAUUCUGGGAUCCCCCUGGAAUUCUGGGAUCCCCUGGAAUCCCUCUGGAAUUCUGGGAUCCCUCUGGAAUUCCGGGAAUCCCCUGGACCACUCACCGCCAGCCCCGUUGCCGUGGCCACGCGCUCGGCGCCGUUUCCCAGCGGGAAUUUCUUCUCCUUGUAGGGAAUUUCCGAAUCCAACUUUUCCAGGAGCAGCUCCAGGAUUUGGGAAUUCAGCGCCGGCUCCGACCCCAGCGCCCUCCACAUGGAGCAGGUGGAGCUGCAAAAUUCCCGGGAAUUGCCCGGAAUUCCGGGGAAA